RNAcentral lists this ribosomal RNA (606 nucleotides) under Staphylococcus aureus. RNAcentral's name for it is "partial 23S ribosomal RNA". It matches the Rfam family "Bacterial large subunit ribosomal RNA", at positions 1588 to 2195 of the family's 2925-position model. The record is from RNAcentral. Lineage: Bacteria; Bacillati; Bacillota; Bacilli; Caryophanales; Staphylococcaceae.
GAGUCGUUGAUUUCACACUGCCGAGAAAAGCCUCUAGAUAGAAAAUAGGUGCCCGUACCGCAAACCGACACAGGUAGUCAAGAUGAGAAUUCUAAGGUGAGCGAGCGAACUCUCGUUAAGGAACUCGGCAAAAUGACCCCGUAACUUCGGGAGAAGGGGUGCUCUUUAGGGUUAACGCCCAGAAGAGCCGCAGUGAAUAGGCCCAAGCGACUGUUUAUCAAAAACACAGGUCUCUGCUAAACCGUAAGGUGAUGUAUAGGGGCUGACGCCUGCCCGGUGCUGGAAGGUUAAGAGGAGUGGUUAGCUUCUGCGAAGCUACGAAUCGAAGCCCCAGUAAACGGCGGCCGUAACUAUAACGGUCCUAAGGUAGCGAAAUUCCUUGUCGGGUAAGUUCCGACCCGCACGAAAGGCGUAACGAUUUGGGCACUGUCUCAACGAGAGACUCGGUGAAAUCAUAGUACCUGUGAAGAUGCAGGUUACCCGCGACAGGACGGAAAGACCCCGUGGAGCUUUACUGUAGCCUGAUAUUGAAAUUCGGCACAGCUUGUACAGGAUAGGUAGGAGCCUUUGAAACGUGAGCGCUAGCUUACGUGGAGGCGCUGGUGG